RNAcentral lists this transfer RNA (72 nucleotides) under Ovis aries (sheep). It matches the Rfam family "tRNA". From Rfam's summary of the family: Transfer RNA (tRNA) molecules are approximately 80 nucleotides in length. Their secondary structure includes four short double-helical elements and three loops (D, anti-codon, and T loops). Further hydrogen bonds mediate the characteristic L-shaped molecular structure. tRNAs have two regions of fundamental functional importance: the anti-codon, which is responsible for specific mRNA codon recognition, and the 3' end, to which the tRNAs corresponding amino acid is attached (by aminoacyl-tRNA synthetases). tRNAs cope with the degeneracy of the genetic code in two manners: having more than one tRNA (with a specific anti-codon) for a particular amino acid; and 'wobble' base-pairing, i.e. permitting non-standard base-pairing at the 3rd anti-codon position. Lineage: Eukaryota; Metazoa; Chordata; Mammalia; Artiodactyla; Bovidae. The record is from Rfam by way of RNAcentral.
UCCCUUGUGGCUCAGCUGGUAAAGAAUCCACCUGCAAUGCGGGAGACCUGGGUUUGAUUCCUGGCUUGGGAA